RNAcentral lists this long non-coding RNA (1413 nucleotides) under Mus musculus (house mouse). Its description in RNAcentral is "long non-coding RNA chr4:109015825-109017238". Lineage: Eukaryota; Metazoa; Chordata; Mammalia; Rodentia; Muridae. The record is from RNAcentral.
AAGUUUUUUUUUUAUAGGCAAAUUGGGAAUUAAUAGGAUUAUUUCUAAUUGUUAAUGGAUUAAGAAAUCACAGACAUCCUAAGAUGCACCUGAGUUCUAGCUCUAGGUCUGCCCCUGACUUCUGGGGGAUCUUAUGCUGCCUGGCUUUCUUUCUUCCACACCCACCUUUAAGGUCACACAAUUGUGAGCUCUACCUUAGCUCCCAAAAUGACAGUAUUAUUAAAUCUUAGAUUCUUACCUCUAAGUUUCUAUAUCUGUCUUUCUCUGUAUAAAAAACUGCAAGUUUUCCUGUGUCAUGGACUUCUUUUGAUAAAGCAAUUAGGUGUGAAGAGACCAAAUCAUUUUGGCUGUGAAGCAGUAGGUAUCCUAGUGGAAGAAAAGAUUCCAUGCUUUUAAGAGUAAGAAAUGGUUUCUACUUAGUGUGUACGUGAGGCACGUAAGCAUCUGGAAGGGAAAGUGAAGAAGUUAGUGUAGGUGAGAGGUGGCUUCAGAAUCGCAUUGGCUCUGAGGAAUGUUUAGGCUUUAAUUUUUAUUUGAGAAAUGUGAGCCUUAUUUAAGGUAAAUAAUUCUCAUUAAGAAAUGAAAUGGGAAAAAAAAUGUUAGCUUUUGGAGAAGUUAAUUACUUUCCUAGAACAUUUUUUAAAUUAUGUUUCUGUUCUUUGAAAAGAAGUUUUUCUUGAUCUGAAAAGUUAAUAAGUUAACAAGAUUGAAAUUUAAGUAUGAUAUAUUUGAAUUAUGAUUUGUUCAUAAUUUUGAGUUUUAUAACUCAGUUCUCAAGUAUAAAAUUCUUGGGUAGAAAAUCCUCAAGUAUGAAUUUCUUUUCUAGCAAUCGCAGAACCUGUUUUUGCUGUGGUCAAAGCUGACUGAUAGACUGUGGUUUAAGUCAUCUUAUUCAAAAAUGUCUUCAACCCUGCUGGUCGAGACAAGAAAUCUUUAUGGGGUAGUUGGAGCUGAAAGCAGGUUAGGCAUCUAUUAAAUGUCACAGAACAGGUUAGACUGUGCUUGAAGAAGUGGCUAUUCUUCCAUGUUUUAAAUGAGCUUAUGUGCUAAGUCUUCAAAAAUGGGACUUGAAGUAUCAAGUGAGGCUGUUUGGCUCUUUUAGAAACCCAAGGUGCAUGCUAUGUUAUAAGGACAACCUUAUCAAACAGUGCUUCACAAAUGCACUAGUUCUGAAAAUUAAUACAAAGUUGGAAAAGUUAAUAUAUACUUUCCUGUUUUCAAAUUUACUAUUUCGUUUACUUAAAAAAAAAAACCCCAAAAUUUUAACUAAUGAUGAUAGUAUGUGUUAGUCAUUAAAAACAGAAUUUUGUGUAUAUCUUGGCCAUCUAUUUUUGUUAAAAAUGAAUUUUCCCAAGGAAUUUGGCAAAUGCACAUUGAUAAGUAAUACAUGAUUUAUAUGUGUGUGUUCAAUGC